GAUGAACGCUGGCGGCGUGCCUAACACAUGCAAGUCGAACGAAGCACCUUUUAAGAUUCUUCGGAUGAUUGAUUGGUGACUGAGUGGCGGACGGGUGAGAACGCGUGGGUAACCUGCCCUGUACAGGGGGAUAACAGUUGGAAACGGCUGCUAAUACCGCAUAAGCGCACGAGAGGACAUCCUCUUGUGUGAAAAACUCCGGUGGUACAGGAUGGGCCCGCGUCUGAUUAGCUGGUUGGUAGGGUAACGGCCUACCAAGGCGACGAUCAGUAGCCGGUCUGAGAGGAUGAACGGCCACAUUGGAACUGAGACACGGUCCAAACUCCUACGGGAGGCAGCAGUGGGGAAUAUUGCACAAUGGGGGAAACCCUGAUGCAGCAACGCCGCGUGAGUGAAGAAGUAUUUCGGUAUGUAAAGCUCUAUCAGCAGGGAAGAUAAUGACGGUACCUGACUAAGAAGCUCCGGCUAAAUACGUGCCAGCCGCCGCGGUAA
RNAcentral lists this ribosomal RNA (492 nucleotides) under uncultured bacterium. Its description in RNAcentral is "partial 16S ribosomal RNA". It matches the Rfam family "Bacterial small subunit ribosomal RNA", at positions 28 to 523 of the family's 1533-position model. The record is from RNAcentral.